CGAGGAGGAGUACGGCUUCCAGCAGCAGGGCGCCAUCACCAUCCCCUGCGGCGUCGACAACUUCCGCCGCGUCCAGGCCGUCAUCGACAGCCACACCCACAGGCACGGCGGCUCCGCCGGCCUCCUCUCCGCCGGCCACCAGCACCACGGCUCCUCCUCGGGCCACCUCCACUUCCACCUCGCCGCCUGCUUCAGGGCGUGAGAUCCGUCUCACCCCACCCCCGCCGGAUGGACGCAAUCUCCGGCCCCGUGUUCGUCGCCUCAGGGAGGCUCCGUUGUUAAUUAGAGUUUAGACGGUCAGGUCAGGUAUGUGGUGAUCCAAGGAUC
Molecule: long non-coding RNA, 327 nt
Filed under: Hordeum vulgare
Lineage: Eukaryota; Viridiplantae; Streptophyta; Magnoliopsida; Poales; Poaceae
Description: long non-coding RNA (HVUL_LNC019978)
Source: RNAcentral